GAUACCCCUGUAGUCCUGGCCGUAAACGAUGAACACUAGGUGUCGGGGGAAUCGACCCCCUCGGUGUCGUAGCCAACGCGUUAAGUGUUCCGCCUGGGGAGUACGCACGCAAGUGUGAAACUCAAAGGAAUUGACGGGGGCCCGCACAAGCGGUGGAGUAUGUGGUUUAAUUCGAUGCAACGCGAAGAACCUUACCAGGGUUUGACAUCCUGCGAAUCCCUUGGAAACUUGGGAGUGCCUUCGGGAGCGCAGUGACAGGUGGUGCAUGGCUGUCGUCAGCUCGUGUCGUGAGAUGUUGGGUUAAGUCCCGCAACGAGCGCAACCCACGUCUUUAGUUGCCAGCAUUGAGUUGGGCACUCUAGAGAGACUGCCGGUGAUAAACCGGAGGAAGGUGUGGAUGACGUCAAGUCAUCAUGCCCCUUACAUCCUGGGCUACACACGUACUACAAUGCUACGGACAAAGGGCAGCAAACUCGCGAGAGCUAGCAAAUCCCAUAAACCGUGGCUCAGUUCAGAUCGUAGGCUGCAACUCGCCUACGUGAAGGAGGAAUCGCUAGUAAUCGCAGGUCAGCAUACUGCGGUGAAUACGUUCCCGGGCCUUGUACACACCGCCCGUCACACCAUGGAAGUUGGCCAUGCCCGAAGUCGUUACUCCAACCCUUGUGGAGGAGGAUGCCGAAGGUGGGGCUGAUGACUGGGGUGAAGUCGUAACAAGGUAGCCGUACCGGAAGGUGC
RNAcentral lists this ribosomal RNA (735 nucleotides) under uncultured Synechococcus sp. RNAcentral's name for it is "bacterial SSU rRNA". It matches the Rfam family "Bacterial small subunit ribosomal RNA", at positions 781 to 1515 of the family's 1533-position model. The record is from RNAcentral. Lineage: Bacteria; Bacillati; Cyanobacteriota; Cyanophyceae; Synechococcales; Synechococcaceae.